Molecule: non-coding RNA, 97 nt
Filed under: Eubacterium sp.
Lineage: Bacteria; Bacillati; Bacillota; Clostridia; Eubacteriales; Eubacteriaceae
Also listed under: 1 other name
Description: SAM-I sequence
Rfam family: SAM riboswitch aptamer (S box leader)
About the family: The SAM riboswitch is found upstream of a number of genes which code for proteins involved in methionine or cysteine biosynthesis in Gram-positive bacteria.
Source: RNAcentral
CUCUUAUUCAGAGUGGUGGAGGUACAUAGGACCUGUGAAGCCACGGCAACCCCUCUACGGAAGGUGCCAACCUGAGCGAGUAAUCGAACAAUAAGAG